RNAcentral lists this transfer RNA (65 nucleotides) under Acropteris iphiata. RNAcentral's name for it is "tRNA-Glu". Lineage: Eukaryota; Metazoa; Arthropoda; Insecta; Lepidoptera; Uraniidae. The record is from RNAcentral.
GUUUAUAAAGUUUAUAAAAUAUUACGCUUUCAAUGUAAAGAGAUAUACUAUGUAUAUUAUAAAUA